AUCUUCCACUCCUUGUGCUCUGGUUUGCAGGAAUGCAAACAAUGAAACUGUGAAACUACCAGUCUUAGACCAAGGAUUCUGGAAAGUUCUGUUCAAAUGAGUUGGAGUGGCCUUUAGGCUCCUGCAGGAUGAAAGCAGGGCGAACUAAAGCAUGGGGACUACUAUGCAGAGAACAGUACAAAUACAGUCCUCAGCUGUACAAUUUCGCAGUCGUGUUCUGCACCUGAAGAAACUACCCUUCAUAUUAGAAUAUCUGUCACAUGCAGCUAGAAAGACACAGCAAAAGUAA
This 289-nucleotide long non-coding RNA is filed under the name Phasianus colchicus (ring-necked pheasant). RNAcentral's name for it is "lncRNA (ENSPCLG00000003723.1)". Lineage: Eukaryota; Metazoa; Chordata; Aves; Galliformes; Phasianidae. The record is from RNAcentral.